Long non-coding RNA from Pseudophryne corroboree (corroboree frog), 1487 nucleotides. RefSeq lists it as uncharacterized. Lineage: Eukaryota; Metazoa; Chordata; Amphibia; Anura; Myobatrachidae. The transcript has 4 exons. The record is from RefSeq and is a predicted model, not a curated record.
GGAAUGGAGGCUGAAGUUUUGCCUAGGGUACCAAGAACCCUUGCACCCUGUGCACUAGGUAGCACUUUUUUGCACAGCACUUUACUUUAUGUGGAUGGGCCUGUGGAAAUAGGUUCGCAGCAACUUUAUAUUGCUACUCCACAGGGAACAGAGGUCGGUCACCUCAUUCCUACUGCAAUGUGACACUCUUGACACUUUAAGUUUCUCUGACCUGGAGGCUGAAGGCAUUCUCCACAAGGAAUCUGCCUUUGAAGAUGUCCCUGCCACCACUAAUGAGGAUGCUUUUAAAGAACUAUUUAAAUUGAAGAAAAGAGCAGUGGAUUUUCUUUAUCACAGUCGGACUUUGUCCGAUUACUAUCGGGCCAAACAAAUCCCCAGGGGGUUUCGCAUCCAUAAUGCCCCCACUAUUGGAAGAUUUAAUAUCAAUUUCUGCAAGAGAUGGAUUGCAGUUUUGAACAAAUGCUCCAUGGACCUCCUCUUGCUGGUCAUAGAGGAAGCAACCCGGGAGUAUAAUGUAACUAAAGGGAAAAUCAGCACUUAUGAGACAUAGCAUCAUGAGCUUUUUACAGCGGAACAACCCAGACUUGCCACAUUGGCCAAACAUGUGGAGCAGUACCACAUUGACUUGUUGAAAUUCAAACGGGAGAAACUAGUCAAAGUACAACAAGACUAUGCCCAGCAUCGGGUCUAUACUUGGCUGGGAAGCACUGGGAGUAACAUCUCUACCAAUAAAGUACCAAGAUUUCGACGCAGAAUGCCGACGACACGCGGUGGAACCACUUCGGCCAGUGACUCAGACGACCAAGGGAGGACUGUGAAUAGAGGGCCAAUUCACAUUACCCAUUCAGGGGUAAAGACUCGGGCAAUUCUAGCGGCCCGAGAAGCAGGCGCACCAGACGGGGCGGGCAGACAAGAAGGCAAACGAAGAGGUCGACCACCCAGAAUAAGGAGAGCUUAAUCUUCAAUUUGUCUUCCAGCCCUUUGUCCCCCUGUGAGGGUUACCAUGGCAACACAGCCGGGACCCGUGACGUCACUUCCGGGGGAAGUAGACAGCCCAGGGGGACGGAGCCGAGCCCGGGACAUGUGAGCAGCGGUGACCAGCAUGGGGGAGAUUACAGGGGACUAGCGGGAUGACAGCGGCAGCCGGGACGCCCGCGGUUGCCUAGUUACCAGUGAUGUCACUUCCUGGUAACGUGAUGGGCACGCCUACCGGAAACCCCGCUGGACGCCGGCUCCCACGGCGUGAUCGGAGGUACACACAUUUAAAAGUAGCUAAUGCGAUAAAAAAUGGUUCAUUUUCAUAAGUUCAAUCAGCAACCUCAACAUCUGAGAUAUGCAACGCAUCUGUAGACUGACCAGUAACAUUUGCACCAUGUUAGUAAGUAUGGAAGAAAAACAGCAAGCUGCUAAAAGACAGACAGGAAACAGACAAUCACAAAGAUUGUGGUUAGUAAUAAAUUGAUUUCACAUUAUAGAGAAAGUACCUU